AGUGAACGCUGGCGGUAGGCCUAACACAUGCAAGUCGAACGGCAGCACAGUAAGAGCUUGCUCUUACGGGUGGCGAGUGGCGGACGGGUGAGGAAUACAUCGGAAUCUACUUUUUCGUGGGGGAUAACGUAGGGAAACUUACGCUAAUACCGCAUACGACCUACGGGUGAAAGCAGGGGAUCUUCGGACCUUGCGCGAUUGUAUGAGCCGAUGUCGGAUUAGCUAGUUGGCGGGGUAAAGGCCCACCAAGGCGACGAUCCGUAGCUGGUCUGAGAGGAUGAUCAGCCACACUGGAACUGAGACACGGUCCAGACUCCUACGGGAGGCAGCAGUGGGGAAUAUUGGACAAUGGGCGCAAGCCUGAUCCAGCCAUACCGCGUGGGUGAAGAAGGCCUUCGGGUUGUAAAGCCCUUUUGUUGGGAAAGAAAAGCAGCAGGAUAAUACCCCGCUGUUCUGACGGUACCCAAAGAAUAAGCACCAGCUAACUUCGUG
RNAcentral lists this ribosomal RNA (492 nucleotides) under uncultured bacterium. RNAcentral describes it as "partial 16S ribosomal RNA". It matches the Rfam family "Bacterial small subunit ribosomal RNA", at positions 29 to 507 of the family's 1533-position model. The record is from RNAcentral.